ACGUAGGGGGCAAGCGUUAUCCGGAUUUACUGGGUGUAAAGGGAGCGUAGACGGCACGGCAAGUCUGAUGUGAAAGGCGGGGGCUCAACCCCUGGACUGCAUUGGAAACUGUCGUGCUGGAGUGCCGGAGAGGUAAGCGGAAUUCCUAGUGUAGCGGUGAAAUGCGUAGAUAUUAGGAGGAACACCAGUGGCGAAGGCGGCUUACUGGACGGUAACUGACGUUGAGGCUCGAAAGCGUGGGGAGCAAACAGG
Molecule: ribosomal RNA, 252 nt
Filed under: uncultured bacterium
Lineage: Bacteria
Description: partial 16S ribosomal RNA
Rfam family: Bacterial small subunit ribosomal RNA
Source: RNAcentral